AGCACCGGCUAACUACGUGCCAGCAGCCGCGGUAAUACGUAGGGUGCGAGCGUUGUCCGGAAUUAUUGGGCGUAAAGAGCUCGUAGGCGGUUUGUCGCGUCUGCUGUGAAAUCCCGAGGCUCAACCUCGGGCUUGCAGUGGGUACGGGCAGACUAGAGUGCGGUAGGGGAGAUUGGAAUUCCUGGUGUAGCGGUGGAAUGCGCAGAUAUCAGGAGGAACACCGAUGGCGAAGGCAGAUCUCUGGGCCGUAACUGACGCUGAGGAGCGAAAGCAUGGGGAGCGAACAGGAUUAGAUACCCUGGUAGUCCAUGCCGUAAACGUUGGGCGCUAGAUGUAGGGACCUUUCCACGGUUUCUGUGUCGUAGCUAACGCAUUAAGCGCCCCGCCUGGGGAGUACGGCCGCAAGGCUAAAACUCAAAGGAAUUGACGGGGGCCCGCACAAGCGGCGGAGCAUGCGGAUUAAUUCGAUGCAACGCGAAGAACCUUACCAAGGCUUGACAUACACCGGAAACGGCCAGAGAUGGUCGCCCCCUUGUGGUCGGUGUACAGGUGGUGCAUGGUUGUCGUCAGCUCGUGUCGUGAGAUGUUGGGUUAAGUCCCGCAACGAGCGCAACCCUCGUUCUAUGUUGCCAGCGGGUUAUGCCGGGGACUCAUAGGAGACUGCCGGGGUCAACUCGGAGGAAGGUGGGGAUGACGUCAAAUCAUCAUGCCCCUUAUGUCUUGGGCUUCACGCAUGCUACAAUGGCCGGUACAAAGGGCUGCGAUACCGUAAGGUGGAGCGAAUCCCAAAAAGCCGGUCUCAGUUCGGAUUGAGGUCUGCAACUCGACCUCAUGAAGUCGGAGUCGCUAGUAAUCGCAGAUCA
Molecule: ribosomal RNA, 863 nt
Filed under: uncultured Curtobacterium sp.
Lineage: Bacteria; Bacillati; Actinomycetota; Actinomycetes; Micrococcales; Microbacteriaceae
Description: bacterial SSU rRNA
Rfam family: Bacterial small subunit ribosomal RNA
Source: RNAcentral